RNAcentral lists this transfer RNA (73 nucleotides) under Lacerta bilineata. Its description in RNAcentral is "tRNA-Asn". Lineage: Eukaryota; Metazoa; Chordata; Lepidosauria; Squamata; Lacertidae. The record is from RNAcentral.
UGAAGACGCACCCGUAAAGGUGCCGGGGCUUCCCCCGUUUUUUUUCUAACGGGGGAAGAAGGCGGAUGGAAGC